ACCAUGUGUUUUGGCUCUGACAGAUCAUCAUAAACAAUGUAAGACCAUUAUUUCACAUUAUAACACACCUCAGACUCCAUGCAUGCACCUGUGCCAUCACUGUCACUGGUUGUGUGUUCAUCAAGAGACUGCUGCAGUAAUGGAAAUACAGAAGGUGACAAGAAUUUAAUGUGGUGCUUAAAUCACAACCAUAAUACAAGUUAGACUUGAUAUAAAGUGAGUAGACCUAUUGUUCAGGUUCGUUGUUCAACCUCCCCUCUUCCUCAUCACUUUCCACUAAAAUGUGCCCAGUGUGUUGCUAAAAACAUUUUAUAAAGAUAACUUAUUUUAGCUUCAUAAGCAUAACUCAUGGGUUGUGUUUAAGCUCUGACAAAUCAUUAUUUAUACAGACAAAGACCAUUAUUUCUCAGCCGUAAACAUUUUGAAACUCAAACCUCAAAAUUAAAGGGGUGGUUUACUGCGAUUUCACUUUUUUCAUUUUAAAUAGUGUGUAAUGUUGCUGUUGGUGCAUGAACAGUAUCUGCAAAGUUGCUGCGCUGAAAGUUCAACGUAAGCAGAGAUAUCUUUUAAAAAUCAGGAAGUUUAAUGCCUACAAAAACGACUCAUAUGGGACUACAACGAGAUACUUCCCGGAUUGCAUACGUAAAAAACCCAUCAAACCCCUCCCUCCGGAACAUGCCAAAGAGGGGGCAAGGCCAUGUUCUGCGGCUUUGUCGAAGAGGAAGAGUUAUAGUGGAGAGUUGUAGCCAUGCCGUCGAAACGGUGUUAUUUUCACCCAGCUGUCAGGUCUUCUGUGUUCGGGCUUCCUACGGAUGCUGUAGUUCGUCAACAAUGGUUCAAAUUUAUGUUUGAUUAUGUUCCUGACAAUUACAAUCCUAAUUUAACUCUCUGUGCUGCGCAUUUUACGGAAGACAGCUUCCAGAAUCUACACGAGUUCAAUGCCGGAUUCACACAGAAACUAUUACUAAAACAUGGAGCAGUUACAACUUUAAAACCAGAGGCAGCAGUUGUUGAGCCACAACCUCACAUGCAACUGUCGCCCGUGAAGGUGAUGGGCGUGAAGUUUCCGGACGAUGUGCAGUACGCAGUUUAGCCAAUCACAACACACCGGCCCAACUAACCAAUCUGAGCCCAUCGCCUGUUUCUGAGGGAGUGGUUUCAGAGAAUCAGGAAGUCAACCGGUCAUUCAAAUGACAGAGGAGAAAGCGGCUUACAAUAAAGGUGAAAUAUAUGAAAAAUAAGGCGUUUUUUAACAAACGAAACACGAAGACAUGAUAUAUUGCACCCCAUAAACACAAUCAAGCAAAGAAAAAAAGCAGUAAACCACCCCUUUAAAGUUAACCUCAAAGUUAAAGUCCAAACUAGAGCAAGGAGCACUGUCUUUAUCUGAAUGGUCAUCAUGAGACUUCUGAGAAGAUACAAUAUUAGAUGUUAAUGUAGUAAGUUCAAUAAAUACUGUACCAGUACUGUAAGCCUUUAUAAUAAUCAUCAUGUACAAAUGUAAUUUUACCUCUGAAUUAUUGUAAACCCUGCCAUCUUCACUCCAAUCCGAAUUAGAGCUGCACAGAUAUUGUUUCUUGCGGUUUUAUUCUCUCAAACAGAUGCAUAAACAGGAUAAACAGAACUUCACUUAUUUGCUUAACAUUACCUCUCUUCAUCAUCAAGGGGAUCUGAAAUGAAGUCAGUAAUAUCAGGUAUUUAAAACUUGGUAAACAGGUAUUUAAAAUAGCAAAUAAAAUAUGGAAAAAACAUUACAAAUUGUAUCAGAAGUAGCAUUUCUGUGAACUUUGAUUAUUUAUUUUGUGCUACAUGCAUUUUAUACAUCUAUACAGUGCUCAGACAGGUCCCUUUACAAAAGACACUGGAAUCUUUACGUGUACACUGUUAUCGAAUAAAAAUGUCUAGUUUUCAUGAGCUGACUAAUACGUUGCAAAUAUGAUCAAAAUACAGAGCGAGGAAAUUACAUAACUUUUAAAGUAGUUUUGACAACAUGGCGGCGCUUGUUGUUUUGUUCGAACCAAAUCAAUAUUGAAUUGUCUCGGCAGCUAAGUUACAUCGGGAUCUAAAGCAGUUUUCGUGUCUUGACACUGUAAAAUUGCAUUAUUUGUCAAUUAUUUUAAGCUGCCCUUAUAUAUUUUAAAUGUUUUCACUGACCUCGAGAGAUAUUACAUCCCACUUAGACAACCAGUUGAGACUUUUUUAAAAUUUAUUUUCUAAUACAAGUUAAUAAAAGUUAAUUCGUAAGCAUACUUAAAUACAUUCCACGGUCUAUGAUCAACUUCAAAAGCGAAUGAGUCGGUCUCACUGUGGGGUCACAACCUUAUAUGGUCCAAUUAGGCCUACCAAUUUUAUCCAUAUGAUAUCUUGUGGUCCGUGGUAAGGGCUCGUUGCCAUCGCGCAAAUAUCUUCUGUACAGUACCUUCCUCUUCUUUCUUGACGGCUCCAUUUAGUUAAAAACACAACCGUCAUCUGAUGCUUCACUAUUUCCCUCCCAUCAGGCUGUGUGUGGAUUGUGCCUAACGACAGCUUGGAAGAACCUGACUUUUGAUUGGAUGAUCUGAUUGACUCUGAUUGGUUCCAAUUCCGUUCGCGCUUCUUUUCGUUGCUGAGAGUCAAAUCUAGUAAACAAAAAGAGAAACAGCUGCAAACAUGUAUGUGCUCAUUAAAUGGAUUAAAGAAAAUAAAGUAAGUGUUGGAUUAGAGAAUUAUGUUAGGGAUAAAAAAAUGUUAGGUGACCCCAAGAGGAUUGGCCUGGUGGAACAUGGUGCAAUAGGAACAACGCCACCUAAAGGCGGUUGGAAAACUUUUCCUGCCCAGAUACUCUGUGUAAACGGUAAGCAAAUCAAUUAUAAAUAUUAACCCAUAACACGUUACGUAUUUAUUUACUUAUUUAUUUAUUGUAUGUUCAUGACUAUAAUUGGCCAUAUAUAAGUCAAAAUAAAUGUAUGCUAGGCAGGUUAUACUGUGUAUAGCAGCGCGCGCCUCCCGCGUUUUUGUCAAAACAGCACGUGCAGCUGAUCGUUUUUACCGAUCGAGUUUUAAACGCACAUCAACUUAUAGCAGUGACUUAAGAGUUAUGAAAAUAAUAUUUGAAAUGAGAUAUUUAGGUUACUUACACAGUAUGACAGAAUGUCAUCUGACAGAAAUAUUUUGGUGUUUCUUUACUGACAGAAAAUUUUCGUUAAAUCAGGUGAAAACAUUACUUCCCAAGAAAUUAACUGUUUUUAUGAAAAUAUGAUAGUGAAGUUUAUGACAGCUUCAUCUUUAUUAUGAUGUUAGUUUAUUAAACAAUACUGGUGGGGAUUGAGUUGAGACUUACCAUGGUAACUUUUCCACCUCUUCAGUAAUAAUUAAGCGAUUAUUUUAAUAUUUAUGCCUAAUUAUUUACUGUAGUUUAUUUCUUACACUAUAAAAUGGCCUCAUUAUGCUAGAUUAAACUAUAUUUAUAAAUGUUCAACAUAAAAAUGUAUUACCCAGGAUAAUGUAUAGACAUUUUAAGGCAGUUGAAAUUAAAUGAUUAAAAUGAAUUUGAAUUUGCAGUCGUCAUUCACAUCCUAAAUUAGUUUUGGGCAAAUAUUUAGACUAAAUAUCUACCCAAUUAUAAUCUACAGCAGACAAGACAAAACAAUCAAAUUAAUAAUAUCUCAGAAAACACAGUAAGAAAUAGUGGAUACUUUGUUUUCUUCACACUUUUCAAGAGAAUAUAAAUACAUGUUAAAGAAUAAUGCUCAAUAAUUUUCUAAUCACUUUAUCGUAAUACAGAGAGCCUUGGGGAAAUAAGAAAAGCAGAAUGUCAAUGGAUAGAGACACACAAAUUGUCUCCAAAGGAUACAAUUGCCACUGACGAUGAUGGUUUCUCUGAUGAUGGGGAUGAAAGUCCUCAAAACCAUGAGGUGCAGGAUGUUUCAUACUGGACCCCGAAACGACCCAAGAGAGACUACAAAAAUUAAAUUAAGGACCUUGAGGAGAGGCUUAAAGAUAAGGACAAAGAUAUCAGGCGUUUGCGAAGGUUGAACCUUCAACUGCAAGAGG
Onychostoma macrolepis is the source of this 4032-nucleotide RNA transcript. RefSeq lists it as uncharacterized. The record is from RefSeq and is a predicted model, not a curated record. NCBI's taxonomy places the organism in Eukaryota, Metazoa, Chordata, Actinopteri, Cypriniformes, Cyprinidae. The transcript is spliced from 5 exons.